Molecule: ribosomal RNA, 133 nt
Filed under: uncultured bacterium
Lineage: Bacteria
Description: partial 16S ribosomal RNA
Source: RNAcentral
GUGGUACCGUCAAACCAUGAGGGUAUUAACCUCACGGGAGUUCUUCCCACUUGACAGAGCUUUACGACCCGAAAGCCUUCAUCACUCACGCGGCGUUGCUGCGUCAGGGUUUCCCCCAUUGCGCAAAAUUCCU